This 226-nucleotide ribosomal RNA is filed under the name uncultured bacterium. RNAcentral's name for it is "partial 16S ribosomal RNA". It matches the Rfam family "Bacterial small subunit ribosomal RNA", at positions 538 to 763 of the family's 1533-position model. The record is from RNAcentral.
GCGUUAAUCGGAAUUACUGGGCGUAAAGCGUGCGCAGGCGGUUAUGUAAGACAGAUGUGAAAUCCCCGGGCUCAACCUGGGAACUGCAUUUGUGACUGCAUGGCUAGAGUACGGUAGAGGGGGAUGGAAUUCCGCGUGUAGCAGUGAAAUGCGUAGAUAUGCGGAGGAACACCGAUGGCGAAGGCAAUCCCCUGGACCUGUACUGACGCUCAUGCACGAAAGCGUG